CCUACGGGGGGCUGCAGUGGGGAAUAUUGGACAAUGGGGGGAACCCUGAUCCAGCCAUGCCGCGUGUGUGAAGAAGGCCCUCGGGUUGUAAAGCACUUUCAGUGAGGAAGAACGCCUGGUGGUUAAUACCCAUCAGGAAAGACAUCACUCACAGAAGAAGCACCGGCUAACUCCGUGCCAGCAGCCGCGGGAAUACGGAGGGUGCGAGCGUUAAUCGGAAUUACUGGGCGUAAAGCGCGCGUAGGUGGCUUGAUAAGCCGGUUGUGAAAGCCCCGGGCUCAACCUGGGAACGGCAUCCGGAACUGUCAAGCUAGAGUGCAGGAGAGGAAGGUAGAAUUCCCGGUGUAGCGGUGAAAUGCGUAGAGAUCGGGAGGAAUACCAGUGGCGAAGGCGGCCUUCUGGACUGACACUGACACUGAGGUGCGAAAGCGUGGGUAGCAAACAGGAUUAGAUACCCCGGUAGUC
This 465-nucleotide ribosomal RNA is filed under the name Vreelandella stevensii. RNAcentral's name for it is "partial 16S ribosomal RNA". It matches the Rfam family "Bacterial small subunit ribosomal RNA", at positions 338 to 795 of the family's 1533-position model. Lineage: Bacteria; Pseudomonadati; Pseudomonadota; Gammaproteobacteria; Oceanospirillales; Halomonadaceae. The record is from RNAcentral.